This is a microRNA precursor of Oryza rufipogon (brownbeard rice), 178 nucleotides long. It matches the Rfam family "MIR812 microRNA precursor family". The record is from Rfam. NCBI's taxonomy places the organism in Eukaryota, Viridiplantae, Streptophyta, Magnoliopsida, Poales, Poaceae.
AAUAAGUGUAGUUUUGCACAGUUAAUUUCUAACGUUUGAACGUCCGUCUUAUUUGAAUUUUUUUUAUAAUUACUAUUUUUAUUGUUAUUAUAUGAUAAAGUAUUUUUAUUGUUAUUAAAAAAUAUAAAUAAAAUGGAUGGUUAAAUGUUGGACACGGAUAUGUACGGGUGUACUUAUU